GACGAACGCUGGCGGCGUGCUUAACACAUGCAAGUCGAACGGAAAGGCCCUGCUUUUGUGGGGUGCUCGAGUGGCGAACGGGUGAGUAACACGUGAGUAACCUGCCCUUGACUUUGGGAUAACUUCAGGAAACUGGGGCUAAUACCGGAUAGGAGCUCCUGCUGCAUGGUGGGGGUUGGAAAGUUUCGGCGGUUGGGGAUGGACUCGCGGCUUAUCAGCUUGUUGGUGGGGUAGUGGCUUACCAAGGCUUUGACGGGUAGCCGGCCUGAGAGGGUGACCGGGCACAUUGGGACUGGGGUACGGCCCAGACUGCUACGGGAGGCAGCAGGGGGGAAUAUUGCGCAAUGGGCGGAAGCCUGAUGCAGCAACGCCGCGUGCGGGAUGACGGCCUUCGGGGUGUAAACCGCCUUCGCCUGUGACGAAGCGUGAGUGACGGUAAUGGGUAAAGAAGCACCGGCUAACUACGUG
This 468-nucleotide ribosomal RNA is filed under the name uncultured bacterium. Its description in RNAcentral is "partial 16S ribosomal RNA". It matches the Rfam family "Bacterial small subunit ribosomal RNA", at positions 28 to 507 of the family's 1533-position model. The record is from RNAcentral.